UCCGUAGCCAAGUGGUAAGGCAAUGGUCUGCAAAACCGUCACCGCCGGUUCGAAUCCGGCCGG
RNAcentral lists this transfer RNA (63 nucleotides) under zebrafish metagenome. It matches the Rfam family "tRNA", at positions 5 to 66 of the family's 71-position model. Rfam says of the family: Transfer RNA (tRNA) molecules are approximately 80 nucleotides in length. Their secondary structure includes four short double-helical elements and three loops (D, anti-codon, and T loops). The record is from RNAcentral.